GGUCAGUGAUGAAUAGUAAAAGGUCUGACAUCCAAGGUCACCUCCCAGCAGCCUACAUCCCCAGCUGCUUGCUUCUCCCAUCAUGCUCUAGUAGUGCUAUUGUGGGCUAAAGCAGUAGCUGACAUGCAGUGAUGUCUCCAUUCUGUGAUCCCUGACAAGCCCAGAGGAGACCCUGGUUGGCAUCAGACAGCUCAAUCACAAAGGGAUUUGAUUGUUGGGAGUGCUGAUAUCCUUGGCUAUGAUCUGACAUUUUAAGCUGAGACC
This is a non-coding RNA of Meriones unguiculatus (Mongolian gerbil), 264 nucleotides long. The record is from Ensembl. NCBI's taxonomy places the organism in Eukaryota, Metazoa, Chordata, Mammalia, Rodentia, Muridae.